CAGAACGAACGCUGGCGGCGCGUCUUAAGCAUGCAAGCCGGGCGGCAAGGGGUAGCAAUAUCUCCUAGAGCGGCGGACUGGUGAGUAACACGUGGGUGACCUGCGUUAAACCUCCCCAUAGCCAUUAGAAAUAGUGGGUAAUACCGGAUAAGCUCAUUUGAUUAUGAUUGGAUGAGGAAAGGAGCUUCGGCUCCGCUUUAGGAUGGGCCCGCGCCCCAUUAGCUAGUUGGAGAGGUAAAGGCUCACCAAGGCGAUGAUGGGUAGCCGGCCUGAGAGGGUGAACGGCCACAUUGGGACUGAGAUACGGCCCAAACUCCUACGGGAGGCAGCAGCUAAGAAUAUUCCGCAAUGGACGAAAGUCUGACGGAGCGACGCCGCGUGGAUGAAGAAGGCCGAAAGGUUGUAAAAUCCUUUUGCUACUGAAGAAUAAGACCGGGAGGGAAUGCCCGAUUGAUGACGUUAGGAGCGAAUAAGCCCCG
RNAcentral lists this ribosomal RNA (479 nucleotides) under uncultured Treponema sp. RNAcentral describes it as "bacterial SSU rRNA". It matches the Rfam family "Bacterial small subunit ribosomal RNA", at positions 25 to 495 of the family's 1533-position model. The record is from RNAcentral. Lineage: Bacteria; Pseudomonadati; Spirochaetota; Spirochaetia; Treponematales; Treponemataceae.